CCUACGGGGGGCAGCAGUGAGGAAUAUUGGUCAAUGGUCGGGAGACUGAACCAGCCAAGCCGCGUGAGGGAGGAAGGUACAGAGUAUCGUAAACCUCUUUUGUCAGGGAACAAAGGCGGGGACGUGUCCCCGGAUGAGUGUACCUGAAGAAAAAGCAUCGGCUAACUCCGUGCCAGCAGCCGCGGUAAUACGGAGGAUGCGAGCGUUAUCCGGAUCUAUUGGGUUUAAAGGGAGCGUAGACGGCUGGCCAAGUCUGAAGUGAAAGCCCGGGGCUUAACCCCGGAACGGCUUUGGAAACUGGCCGG
Molecule: ribosomal RNA, 305 nt
Filed under: uncultured bacterium
Lineage: Bacteria
Description: bacterial SSU rRNA
Rfam family: Bacterial small subunit ribosomal RNA
Source: RNAcentral